Molecule: ribosomal RNA, 434 nt
Filed under: uncultured Ruminococcus sp.
Lineage: Bacteria; Bacillati; Bacillota; Clostridia; Eubacteriales; Oscillospiraceae
Description: bacterial SSU rRNA
Rfam family: Bacterial small subunit ribosomal RNA
Source: RNAcentral
ACGGAAGGCAGCAGUGGGGAAUAUUGCACAAUGGGGGGAACCCUGAUGCAGCGAUGCCGCGUGGAGGAAGAAGGUUUUCGGAUUGUAAACUCCUGUCUUAAGGGACGAUAAUGACGGUACCUUAGGAGGAAGCUCCGGCUAACUACGUGCCAGCAGCCGCGGUAAUACGUAGGGAGCGAGCGUUGUCCGGAAUUACUGGGUGUAAAGGGAGCGUAGGCGGGAUGACAAGUCAGAUGUGAAAACUAUGGGCUUAACCCAUAGACUGCAUUUGAAACUGUCGUUCUUGAGUGAAGUAGAGGUAAGCGGAAUUCCUGGUGUAGCGGUGAAAUGCGUAGAUAUUAGGAGGAACACCAGUGGCGAAGGCGGCUUGCUGGACGACAACUGACGCUGAGGCGCGAAAGCGUGGGGAGCAAACAGGAUUAGAUACCCUGAUA